Molecule: ribosomal RNA, 393 nt
Filed under: uncultured bacterium
Lineage: Bacteria
Description: bacterial SSU rRNA
Rfam family: Bacterial small subunit ribosomal RNA
Source: RNAcentral
AUUGAACGCUGGCGGCAUGCCUUACACAUGCAAGUCGAACGGCAGCACGGGAGCAAUCCUGGUGGCGAGUGGCGAACGGGUGAGUAAUAUAUCGGAACGUGCCCAGUCGUGGGGAUAACGUAGCGAAAGCUACGCUAAUACCGCAUACGAUCUAUGGAUGAAAGCGGGGGAUCGCAAGACCUCGCGCGAUUGGAGCGGCCGAUAUCAGAUUAGGUAGUUGGUGAGGUAAAGGCUCACCAAAGCCGACGAUCCUUAGCUGGUCUGAGAGGAUGAUCAGCCACACUGGGACUGAGACACGGCCCAGACUCCUACGGGAGGCAGCAGUGGGGGAAUAAUUGGACAAAUGGGCGGAAAGACCGUAGAUCCAGCAAUAGCCGCGUGAGUGAUGAAGGU